RNAcentral lists this non-coding RNA (134 nucleotides) under unclassified sequences. RNAcentral describes it as "skipping-rope RNA". It matches the Rfam family "skipping-rope RNA". From Rfam's summary of the family: Firmicutes, Fusobacteria, AlphaProteobacteria, Spirochaetes. The record is from Rfam by way of RNAcentral.
UAAGUUGGAGGAUAGAAAGGCAGCUAUCACGCCUAUAAAUAUAAAAUGUUCCUCGCUCGGCUAGUAAUAGCAACGCAAGAAGGUCAUUUAUAGGUCUUGAAAGAGAUGCAGGGUACGCCGACCUGCCCAACUAA